GUAGUGGCUCGCGCCAAGUGAAAGCGCAGCGCGAGCCCGACCGUGCUCUUUACGCGAGUACGCGACUUGCGAGCACUCGAGAUUAUUGAAUCUCAGAAACGGUUAAAUCGAUCGAGUUUCUAAGUAAGCUCAAUCGAAAGCUUGGGGUCGAUUUAUAUUAGAAAACUAUUUUUAUUUUUUCUCUACAUGUCCUAUGAAUGGAGAUAUCGCGACGCAAAGUCCGAAAAGCCAAAAUUUCAUUUAAGAUACGUCGUCGUCAUCGUCAACCUUGUUGGUAUCUCUGCGGGUAGUGCGGGUGCCGAAAAUGAGGGACGAAAAUCCAUUUCGCUCAUCUACUACCGUGUGGCGUUCGCAUCGUCACUAUAGCACCGUAUAUGGCAAUGUAUAAGUCACGUGGUCACCAGUGGCUCGCUCGCGCCGUGAAUUAGUUGUGUGAAGAUGAUAGGUUAUAUAUGAGGUUUUAUUAUUAUUAAUCAUUGACACCAAUAUAAAUUAAUUAAUUAAUCAGAGAGUAACAUAGCUCAAUUUAUCGAUGAGGUCACAUAAGUUGCUUCGGCCACAGGUCAGCUCCUGUCAAGUGACAUGUGUAGUGGAGGUUAAAUUAUUUAUUUAAUGAUUUUAAUCAUUGACACCAAUAUAAAUUAAUUAAUUUCAGAGAGUAACAUAGCUCAGAUUUAUCGAUGAGGUAGAUGAGAUGUUGCGUGAUGUAAAAUGUGUAAUUAUUGUUGUAAUUUCAAUGAUAAUGUUGUAAGGAUAAUAAAGUAAAGAAUAAAAAUAGUAUAUUGAUUGAUUGACAAUUACAGCAACAUUUAUCCAAUACACAAUUCUUCUACAUCAUACAAUAUUUCAUCUCUCAUCGACACUAAUAUAAAAUUACAGAGCUAUUUUAUUUUUAAUUUUAACCGGUCACAUAAGUUGCUCUGGCCACAGGUCAGCUCCUGUUAAGUGACAUGUGUAGUGGAGGUUAAAUCAUUUAUUUAAUGAUUUUUAACAUCUCAUCUAUUUAAUCAUCGUUCAUUAAGAUUUUCCACUUGUGUCGAUGAAAUAAAUGAGAUUGACACAAAUGUAAAAUUAAAUAAUCAGAGAAUAACAUAGCUCAGAUUUUAUACUGGUGUUGAUGAGGUAGAUGAGAUGUUGCAUGAUGUAGAAAAUGUGUAUUAUUGCUGUAAUUGUCAAUCAUGUUAUAAGGAUAAAAACUAUCAUCAUCACCAAGGUAUUACUUUUGUCACCAAGAUACAAUUAUAUGUUACUAGUAAAGAAUAAAAUAGUAUUGUUAAAACCAUUUAUUUGAUUUGAAAUUUUGUUAGAUAAUUAAUAUUGAUUGACAAUUACAGCAACAUUUAACCAAUACACAAAUCUUCUACAUCAUACAUCUCAUUUCUCAUCGAUACUAAUGUAAAAUCAGAGAGCUAUUUUAUUUUAAUAAUCGGUUACGCAGGUUGCUCGGGCCACGGGUCAGCCCGUGUCAAGUGACAUAUGUAGUAUUGGUUAAAUCAUUUAUUUAAUGAUUUUUCAGGAAAUAUAUUAUUUAAAUUAAAUUAGUGACCAAACAUAAUUACCUUUUUAAAUAAAAAUGUAAAAAGGGCUCCAAGUGUGUGGGCUUCUUUAAGGGAAGACAGAAAUUCAAGAUAAUCGUUUUCAUCAAAUUCAACUUAGGCAUGGUUCCAAAACAUGCUCUAAAGAAAAAUUUUAUUUAAAAAUUUAUAGUAUUAUAUCCGUUAUAUAAACUUUAACUUCUUAGUAAAAUUUUUCUCAAAGAGAAAGUUUUAGAGUGUAACCUUAAGUGGUCUAUAAAACUAA
RNAcentral lists this long non-coding RNA (1800 nucleotides) under Monomorium pharaonis (pharaoh ant). RNAcentral's name for it is "uncharacterized LOC118644524". The record is from RNAcentral. Lineage: Eukaryota; Metazoa; Arthropoda; Insecta; Hymenoptera; Formicidae.